UGGGAACAAAACGACAAUCCAAUUGGUAAUUCAAUGGAAUCAAAGUUACUUCAAAAUUCAUCGAUGGACAGAUACACUUUUAAAAAUGUCCAUCACUAUGGUAAUCAGGAUGGAAAUGAACACAACACAGUUUUUGAUGGAAGGAUGAAACAAACGCAAAAAAGGACAAAAUGAUGGCGGGCAAGAUGAAGACUUAGAUACUGCGAGAUCAAUAGAUCAAGGCGGAGCCUCUUUCGAUUCAAUUUUAAGGGUCCAACAAAAAUGGUUGAGAGUUAGUUAGUAAGACAGAGAAAGUGGAGAAAUCAAAGAAAAGGCAAAAAGAGAGUGUGAGGGAAAGAAGGAGAAACGAGAGAAAGAGGAAGAUGCAGAUAGGCUAGAGAAAGGGUUACAAAGAAACAAAGAAAAUUCAUUAUUUUUUCACUGUUACUUUUACAUUUCGAUUUGUGUGUAAACGAUUUUUUAGGUUUGCAAACAAAAGUCAACUCGUUUUUUCUACUUCUCAGAGAAUCUCAUUAGUAACUAUUAUCUGAAUCGUGAUCCUCAUCUUUUGUCUUCUAGAUCGUAAUAUAUUUCACCUUCUUCAUCAUCAACAAUAACAAAAACAGUGUAAAAAUACGCCAUUACAUUCACCAAAACCAGUGUAAUAACAAAGUAUCUAAUUGAGUAACAUCAUGAUACAGUGUUUACCAUUUUGAAAAGUGUAUCUGUCCAUCGAUCAAUUGUGAACGUUGAAUUAACAUUUGGAUUGUCUUUUCUCAUGAUCUUGUGGUCUUUAGUUUCGCUUUUUCUUGGUUCUCAUUCGAUUCCAUGAUUGUUGUUAACAUCUAAUCAUCAUCGGUUAACCAUUUGGACUGUGGAUGCGAAAAGGUCAACUAAUUGCUGUUUAAAUAAUCCUGUGGAUCGCAUACACUUACUUAAUUAAUUGGUAGCAACAUUGUUUUCCACUGCUGUCAUUUUCAUCUUAUCUACCCUUCCUUAUUGAAUCACUUGGGUUUUAUACAUUUAUUGGAAUCGCGAUUGAAAACAUUUGAUUGGAUCUUGAAUGCUUCAUGAAAUCAUGAUGGACUUUAUGAAAGACGGUUCUCUCAGUGUAUCUCAUGAACCUGAUUCCUCAAUCAAUUUAUUUGGCUCAAUUGGUUUACCAGUUCCAUCAACAAGUCAUUCCUCAGCCAAUCAUCAUUGUUCAGUCAAUAAUGACUCACGAGGGAAGUACCCGAGGUCAUCCGAAUAAAAUUUAAUAAUUUUAUCAGAAACCAAUUAGGUUUUAUGAGUGUUUAAUUGUCUCGAAAUCUCCCGGGUAGCAAAUUAAAGAUUAACGAGAAAAACGGAAUUAAAAUUCAAUUUUUUACAUGUAAAGUAUGGUAAAGAGCAUACAAAAUAAAAUGAAAGAAACAAAAAGCCUCAUCGCAAUGGGUUCAUAUUAUUGCUUUCACAUUGAUCUAUGCAUAGCGAUAGACAAUAAAUGGCGCUUUUCGACCCUUCUGUCCAUUUGCUACUCAAAAGAAGACGAACUAUAUUGUUUUUCAAUAAGACGAAUUCAAUGACACACUAAUCAUUGAAAUCGGUUCGGAUGACCUCGGGUACCCCCCUUGUCAGUAAAUAACAAUAACACAAAUAAUGGCAACAACAGCAGCAAUAAUGAAAAUAAUAGUAAUAAUAAUAACCGUAGCAAUGGUAAUAACUCGAAUGUAAAUGGGCAAUCCAAUGGUCAUCAUCACAAUAAUCAUCAUCAUCAUAAUCCACAUCAUUAUGACAAUGGAAUCAACCAUGAUAGAGUUGCAGCCUCUAUGGCACUGUCAUCACCUUCAAUUAACAGUCUAUCAACGGUCCACUCCAAAUCAUGUGUUCAACUUCAAUACGCUAGUAGCCAGUCUUAAGUUAACAAAAAAGGUUCAGAUUUAAGAUAACUUUUAGGUAUCGCCAUCUUAAAUAUAUACAAUUUUCAGAGACACUUAACAAUAUAAACUGUGCAAAAUUAAAUUUAUAUACCGAAGCUAGUCGAUGGAUGGAAGUCACUGGCUUGAAGGUGAAUAAGUGACUGGCUGCGACUGAGCUUGUACAGUCGGCACAGCCAAAUUCAACUAUUUCGACUGGCUAGCCAAUCAAAUUUAUCAAUAUCAAUAGUCUUAAUCUUCAUAAAAUCUGUCAAAAUGAAAUAUUUCAACCGUUCAUAGCUUUAGAACGAGUUAAGUUGAAGAAAUGAAACAUACUAUUAGAGAAUGGUAAAUCAGUUCUCAGGAAAAAAAACAUUAAU
Molecule: non-coding RNA, 2254 nt
Organism: Tetranychus urticae (two-spotted spider mite)
Lineage: Eukaryota; Metazoa; Arthropoda; Arachnida; Trombidiformes; Tetranychidae
Source: RefSeq, a predicted model, not a curated record